ACUGGAUGAGGUAAGCACACCUGUAAUUCUUGCUGCUGGGGAGGCUGAGGCUGGGAGAUUUCUUGAGUUUAGGGGUUACAAACUUCAGUGGGCUAAAUCAGUUGAGUGUCUGCACUAAGUCUGGCAUCACUAUGGGGAGGCUUGAGGACUGGGGAAACACUAGGUUGCCUAAAGAGGGCCAAACAGGCCCAGUUUGGAAACAAAGUGGGUCAAAUCUCCCAUGAUAAUUACUAGUACAAUUGGGCCCACGAGUAGCCCCUGCAUUUGCAGCCUGGGGAAGAUAUGGAGGGCCAAUGUUU
This 299-nucleotide non-coding RNA is filed under the name Phascolarctos cinereus (koala). Lineage: Eukaryota; Metazoa; Chordata; Mammalia; Diprotodontia; Phascolarctidae. The record is from RNAcentral.